AACGACGACGUUACCACUUUAACCGCAAAUUUUGAAGGAAGGCUCGAAGCGGUGCGUUUAGAUGAAGACAGAAACAGGCAGACAUAGUGCAUAGAAGAGGUUCGUUUGGUUUGCGAGAAAACAGAGAGUUCGGAAAAAAAUAAAAUAAAAUAAAAUAAAAACCAGAGAAAGCAAAUGGCGGUGAGUUCGCCGUACUGGGCGUCCGUACGGAUAAUAACGGGCACCAUUUCCGGCGGCAUUUUAGGCUUCUACGUUAUGCACCGUGUUGAAAUAAGCUACAAGGAGAAGAUGAAGGAGAGACUGAGAUUGUAUGAGAUUGAGAUGAAGAAGAGGCAAGAGAAGUUGAAUGAGCUUGAGGAUUCUGCCUAGUUUUGAAUGUUAUGAAGUAGUUCUAAACUUUUCCUUUUUUCUUUUGAUUUUAAGCUUUUUGGUUUCUGUGAAAUUAUAGGAAAGUUGAGGAACAGAAUGAACUCUUGAGUAUUGUGUAUUAUAUUGUUUUAGUCACCGAAAUAACGAGAAAUUUAAUUGCAAGUGAAAGUUGAGUUCUGAGGUAUCAAACAAUUCAGAUGGUCAGAUUCUCUUAUCUUGAAUUCUCUCAGUCUCAGCUACCAAACAGACUCACGUAAGAUUUUAGUGUUGAUGUUAAAGAAGGAGUUUCUAGAUUUGGCUUGGUGUACAUUGCUGAUGAUUUGGAGCAGUCCUGCCAAUGCGAUAAGCCAAUAACCAAGUAGACAAGAACUAGUGAAUGGUGCAAACUCCAAACCAAGCCAAUAAUUUGAAUUUUUUGGGGUAUUUCUCUUUGAAAGGAUAUUUAGACCAUUUUCUUAAGCCUCCAGGUAUUUUUUCAGAAUUUUUAGUUGAUGUUAUCUAUAAUGAUUCAGCAGUUCAUUAAGAUGGUGGAAUGGUAUAUGGUUGCAUUCAGAUUGAUACUAAAACAGUUCCUUUUAGUGGUGAACAUGUUUAAUUAAUCAUGUUAUUUUGGUUAGAUAGUG
This is an RNA transcript of Pistacia vera, 992 nucleotides long. RefSeq lists it as uncharacterized. The record is from RefSeq and is a predicted model, not a curated record. The transcript has 3 exons. Lineage: Eukaryota; Viridiplantae; Streptophyta; Magnoliopsida; Sapindales; Anacardiaceae.